UACGUAGGGUGCGAGCGUUAAUCGGAAUUACUGGGCGUAAAGCGUGCGCAGGCGGCUUUGCAAGACAGAUGUGAAAUCCCCGGGCUCAACCUGGGAAUUGCAUUUGAAACUGGGAAACUAGAGUGUGUGAGAGGGGGGUAGAAUUCCGCGUGUAGCAGUGAAAUGCGUAGAUAUGCGGAGGAACACCAAUGGCGAAGGCAAUCCCCUGGGCCUGUACUGACGCUCAUGCACGAAAGCGUGGGGAGCAAACAGG
Molecule: ribosomal RNA, 253 nt
Filed under: uncultured bacterium
Lineage: Bacteria
Description: partial 16S ribosomal RNA
Rfam family: Bacterial small subunit ribosomal RNA
Source: RNAcentral